UACGGAGGGUGCAAGCGUUAAUCGGAAUUACUGGGCGUAAAGCGCACGCAGGUGGCUGAGUCAGUCGAUUGUGAAAGCCCUGGGCUUAACCUGGGAAUUGCAGUCGAUACUACUCAGCUAGAGUAUGGGAGAGGGUAGUGGAAUUCCCGGUGUAGCGGUGAAAUGCGCAGAUAUCAGGAGGAACACCGAUGGCGAAGGCAGGUCUCUGGGCCAUUACUGACACUGAGAAGCGAAAGCAUGGGGAGCGAACAGG
RNAcentral lists this ribosomal RNA (253 nucleotides) under uncultured bacterium. RNAcentral describes it as "partial 16S ribosomal RNA". It matches the Rfam family "Bacterial small subunit ribosomal RNA", at positions 524 to 776 of the family's 1533-position model. The record is from RNAcentral.